Anser brachyrhynchus (Pink-footed goose) is the source of this 2339-nucleotide long non-coding RNA. The record is from Ensembl. NCBI's taxonomy places the organism in Eukaryota, Metazoa, Chordata, Aves, Anseriformes, Anatidae.
GCAGAAAAGGAGUGAGCAGAACCUGGUGGUGAGUAUUUUUCACUGAACACUGGUUUCUCUUCACCUCAAUACGUUAUUGUUUAAAACCAGUAUUUGUUUAAAUCUGACCAAGAAUUUUAAAGGGAAGGACUCACUCAUAUGCCCCUUGAAAUCAAGGAAAUAAUUUCUGAGCAAGGCUAGUGGAAUAGUAGAUGAGCAUUAAAUAAAUUUUAGAGUGUUAAAGGCAUAAGUGCUGGUGUCAGUAGUUUCACUGUGAUGGAGAGCAAAUGGGAUGGUAACCAGCUGAUACACACCUCAACAAGGAGCUCACGGGGGCAGCUAAGAAAUGGUACAGAGCCAUGAGUAGGAACAGUGAUACACACAACACUAUUUAUCUCAGUGUAGCUGAUAUCUACCCAUGAACAAAUCUCUGAAGCCCCCACUGCUUCCAUAUGUCAAGUGAGAAAUGAGUUUCUUCUGAUCCUUCUCUUCAUUUCUGCCUAAAAGUCCCAGCAUGGCUGUGUAUGGGGACACACAUUUUUGGUCUUUUUGUAGGGUUUCACUGUGACUGCAGGGAAGCAAGCUCCAUCUCAUGUCAGGAGACCUACAGGGAGUCAUGCCACGGUGUGAGCUGCUGCAAAGCCAUUCCCAAACACUGCUGGAGCAGCCCCGUCGAGGCAGGUGCCCAUCAUGGAAUGAGAAAGAAUUUGAACCUUGGUAUCAAGGUGUCUUAUCAAUACCUUCUUCUCAGCAAAUCCUCAAACAAAAGCCUGGACUAGAUGACUACAGAGAUCACUUUCAAACAGCACUUCUACGAUACACAAAAUUCCAGAUGGGGACUCCUAAUAGCUGGUGAUGGACCCUGCAAAGUGCUUCAGUGAUGCUUGUGCUAGCAUGUGCGAAGAGCUCCUGUUCAACAGAUCCUGCAGAGUAAAAACACUAUUGUCAACUGCACCUUUCAGUGCUACUACUUUACUGUGUGCAAGGCGUGGUAUUAUAUGUGGACAGUUGCUCAUUUCUAAAAACAUUUCCCCUCAAUCUGAUUAAAAAAAAAAAAAGCCCACCACAACUGUUUAUUGUGGUCUCGUCCUUCGCUACCACCAGAAACAAAGAAAUCUGCAUCUGAUGUGAUCUGGAAUACACCAUGCAUCUAGUAUCUUGCAAAAUGCCACUCUGCAGCCAUCACACACCAAGACAUCAUCAAUCACCAAGACCUCAUCAAUCUCACUGGACUUAAAUCCUAUUGGGACCGCACUAAAAUCAAGGGGAAAAGAAACUACCAUCCAACUGUCCCCUGCAGCUCCUGCCACUUUCUAGCCCUUAAUUAAUCUAGAACAUCUCUACCUCUGCCAGCUCCUCCAGGCUGCAGGGGAACUGACCUCCACUUGGCAGGUUUCUGACUCCUGCUGCUGCAGCACCACAACUGGUCACGAACACAACUCAGCAGUAGAAGCCACUGGCACCUUGUCCAUUCAGAUUGCAAACUCCUGGGGGAAAGAAAGUCACAGCCUGAACACAUAAAGGUCUCUAAGACCUGCUCUGUUGCAAAAGCUUAUUAUGAUCCCCCUGGGAUUUAAUUUAAGACUAAAUUUAGGCUGUUUCCACCAUGACUUACUGCCUUCUCUUAGAACUUCUCAUACAUCCUGCUUUCCUGUGUGUUUGAUACCUCAGACACUUCAGAUGUCCUCUUUUCAGCAUAAUUUAAUAUUUGAUUAUAGUAAAAGAAAGCAUGUGUUGUCUUGAAGAAGAGAAAACUAUCAUCUAGGGAUUUCUCUAAUGCCAAGACAAAAUUAAUCUUUCAUGGCACAGUGGAGUAAAAAUUCAGUCCCAAAAGCAGGUAAUUAAAGAGUUAUUCCCUAGAUGUGAGAAUGACUCCUUAGAAAGAGAAACUUAGAAGUUUUGUUUAAAUUGUUCUGAGAGUACAGCAACUGAUUUAGAGCUAGUAUUUGGUGAAAACCUGCUUGGGGUAGAAGUUCUAGAGAGGAAGAGAAUGAUGUUGUGUCUAGUAUUUGUAAACACGGGUAAAAGUAAUGCUGCACAGAUAUGAAGUCAGAAGUGCACCCCACAACAGGAAAGAGAGAAAAGUCUUCUCAAUGAGGCUUUCCUCAGAUAAAGGCCCUCAUUCAGCAUUAGGCAAGAACUUUCUUGCAAGUUUAUUUCAAACUACUAUCAAAUGACACAUGCAAGGACUGAUCCAACCAACCUGCCAAGAUGACACGGUAUUUUCCAAGGCGACUGAGACAUAUAAAACUUGAAUGCUAAAUCACAGCAGAUCAGAAAUGGGAAGACUCUAGCUCAAUAACCAUUAACUUUCAGGUGGAAAGUGAAUAAAGUUCCAAAGAUGAAAACUUGAUAAGCCA